RNAcentral lists this long non-coding RNA (386 nucleotides) under Brassica napus (rape). RNAcentral's name for it is "long non-coding RNA (BNAP_LNC013916)". Lineage: Eukaryota; Viridiplantae; Streptophyta; Magnoliopsida; Brassicales; Brassicaceae. The record is from RNAcentral.
GAGAAUGAGAGCAAGGAGAGCAUAUUUAUAAGAAACUUUCGAUAUUGGUAGGUGGGAAUGUUACGACCAAUUUAUGCCACCAUAAACUUUACUACUAAUUUACAACUACAUUCCUCGUAAUAAGGUUGUUAAUUAGAUGGAAAACAUUAGAUGUAAAAUAGACGUAAUUUACCGACGUGUUUACGACGAAACCAGUGGUCGUCGUAAUCUAGUCGUAUAAUUAUGAAUAAUUUACGACGAAGACUUUUCGUAGCAAUUCUACUACUAGGUCGUCGUUAAAAAGACGUUACUUUACGACUAAUUUAUGACGAAAACAUUUGGUAGCAAAUUUACGUCUACUUUACGACGACAUCAUAUUUCGUCGUAACGUCAACGUAAACAUGAUG